Molecule: long non-coding RNA, 350 nt
Organism: Sinocyclocheilus anshuiensis
Lineage: Eukaryota; Metazoa; Chordata; Actinopteri; Cypriniformes; Cyprinidae
Exons: 4
Source: RefSeq, a predicted model, not a curated record
UCUACACCUGCCCCAGUCUGUCACUCUGUCGUUUUGGAGGUAUUUUCGUUGGCUGAAUAAAACCGGUCGAGUGGACCUCGCUUAAUGAACCAGACGAUGAUGAGGAGGAGACUUAUAUGGCAACUAGGCCAUAUCUUCAAAGAUUUAUUGGAAGGCUCUUAUCUAUCGGUGCAGGUCCUUUCUGGCAUGGCGAUUUGGCUGACAACAACAAGCAGAAGUUUUGGAGGAGCAGUGCAAGCAAAUAAGACAAGGAGCAAGGAUGAGGCGGCAUCGACUUGAGACGAUGAGAAGAUCUGGGAGUUUCUCUCUUCACAGAGCUCUUGACCGGCGCGGCUGCUGACUCAACUGAA